GGCAGUGGUAGCUCAGUGGUUAUAGUGUUGGUCUAUUGUUCAGAAGGUCAUGUGUUCAAACCCCAGCACCACCA
Molecule: non-coding RNA, 74 nt
Organism: Ameiurus melas (black bullhead)
Lineage: Eukaryota; Metazoa; Chordata; Actinopteri; Siluriformes; Ictaluridae
Source: the annotation of a GenBank genome assembly